This 381-nucleotide unclassified non-coding RNA is filed under the name uncultured bacterium. Its description in RNAcentral is "contains 16S-23S intergenic spacer region". The record is from RNAcentral.
UCCGAGUUGACCCCGGCAGUCUCCUAUGAGUCCCCACCAUUACGUGCUGGCAACAUAGAACGAGGGUUGCGCUCGUUGCGGGACUUAACCCAACAUCUCACGACACGAGCUGACGACAGCCAUGCAGCACCUGAACCGGAGGUCCCCGAAGGGAAGACCCUAUUUCUAGGGCUGUCCUCCGUUGUCUAGCCCGGGUAAGGUUCUUCGCGUUGCGUCGAAUUAAACCACAUGCUCCACCGCUUGUGCGGGCCCCCGUCAAUUCCUUUGAGUUUCAGCCUUGCGGCCGUACUCCCCAGGCGGGGCACUUACUGCGUUAGCUACGGCACGGAUCCCAAGGAAGGAAACCCACACCUAGUACCCACCGUUUACGGUGUGGACUAC